Molecule: ribosomal RNA, 457 nt
Filed under: uncultured Chlorophyceae
Lineage: Eukaryota; Viridiplantae; Chlorophyta; Chlorophyceae
Description: partial Bacterial small subunit ribosomal RNA
Rfam family: Bacterial small subunit ribosomal RNA
Source: RNAcentral
ACUCCGUGCCAGCAGCCGCGGUAAGACGGGGGAUGCAAGCGUUAUUCGGAAUUAUUGGGCGUAAAGCGUCUGUAGGUGGUGAGGAAAGUGUUUUGUUAAAGAUCAGGGCUCAACCCUGGGAAAGCAUGGCAAACUAUCUCACUUGAGUUCGGUAGGGGCAGAGAGAAUUCCCAGUGUAGCGGUGAAAUGCGUAGAUAUUGGGAGGAAGACCGGUGGCGAAGGCGUUCUGCUGGGCCGUAACUGACACUGAGAGACGAAAGCUAAGGGAGCAAAUAGGAUUAGAUACCCUAGUAGUCUUAGCUGUAAACGAUGCACACUAUGCUUUGCAAUUUGCAGAGCAAAAGCUAACGCGUUAAGUGUGCCGCCUGGGGAGUACAUUCGCAAGGAUGAAACUCAAAGGAAUUGACGGGGACCCGCACAAGCGGUGGAGCAUGUGAUUUAAUUCGAUUCAACGCGA